CCUACGGGUGGCAGCAGUGAGGAAUAUUGGUCAAUGGACGGAAGCCUGAACCAGCCAAGUAGCGUGAGGGAUGAAGGCCCUAUGGGUCGUAAACCGCUUUUGCACGGGGAUAACAUCCACCACGUGUGGAGGUUUGCAGGUACCGUAUGAAUAAGGGUCGGCUAAUUCCGUGCCAGCAGCCGCGGUAAUACGGAGGGUCCGAGCGUUAUCCGGAUUUUUUGGGUUUAAAGGGAGCGUAGGCGGGGGUUCAAGUCAGCUGUAAAAUGUCGCGGCUCAACCGCACACCGCAGUUGAUAAUGGGCGCCUUGAGUUCACCACAGGUAGGCGGAAUUCGUGGUGUAGCGGUGAAAUGCUUAGAUAUCACGAAGAACCCCGAUUGCGAAGGCAGCCUGCCGGAGUGCGACUGACGCUGAGGCUCGAAGGUGCGGGUAUCAAACAGGAUUAGAUACCCUAGUAGUC
RNAcentral lists this ribosomal RNA (459 nucleotides) under uncultured bacterium. RNAcentral describes it as "partial 16S ribosomal RNA". It matches the Rfam family "Bacterial small subunit ribosomal RNA", at positions 338 to 795 of the family's 1533-position model. The record is from RNAcentral.